RNAcentral lists this ribosomal RNA (497 nucleotides) under uncultured bacterium. RNAcentral's name for it is "partial 16S ribosomal RNA". It matches the Rfam family "Bacterial small subunit ribosomal RNA", at positions 28 to 507 of the family's 1533-position model. The record is from RNAcentral.
GAUGAACGCUGGCGGCGUGCCUAAUACAUGCAAGUCGAGCGAACGGACGAGAAGCUUUCUUCUCUGAUGUUAGCGGCGGACGGGUGAGUAACACGUGGAUAACCCACCUAUAAGACUGGGAAAACUUCGGGAAACCGGAGCUAAUACCGGAUUAUAUUUUGAACCGCAUGGUUCAAAAGUGAAAGACGGUCUUUCUGUCACUUAUAGCUGGAUCCGCGCUGCAUUAGCUAGUUGGUAAGGUAACGGCUUACCAAGGCAACGAUGCAUAGCCGACCUGAGAGGGUGAGCGGCCACACUGGAACUGAGACACGGUCCAGACUCCUACGGGAGGGAGCAGUAGGGAAUCUUCCGCAAUGGGCGCAAGCCUGACGGAGCAACGCCGCGUGAGUGGUGAGGGUCUUCGGAUCGUAAAACCCUGUUAUUAGGGAGGAACAGAUUUGUGAGUAACUGUGCGCAUAUUGACGGUACCGGGUAAGAAAGCCACGGCUAACUACGUG